ACUUAAAUGUGGAUGUACUUGCU
This 23-nucleotide non-coding RNA is filed under the name Columba livia (rock pigeon). RNAcentral also lists the same sequence under 1 other name. The record is from RNAcentral. Lineage: Eukaryota; Metazoa; Chordata; Aves; Columbiformes; Columbidae.